RNAcentral lists this non-coding RNA (811 nucleotides) under Pongo abelii (Sumatran orangutan). Lineage: Eukaryota; Metazoa; Chordata; Mammalia; Primates; Hominidae. The record is from RNAcentral.
CUCUGUGACUGGCUUGCUUGAUAGUUAGGGUCUGAUUGCUGCCUGAGACACCAUAUCGGUACUCCUCAGAGUUGAUGCAUAGUGUUCAUAUGAGGAGAGACUUUCCCUUGUCUCCGUCAUCUGUGAUUUCACUUCCCUGACAGAAGACGAAGCUUCCAUCUCAGAUGUUUUCUUAAAUGAUGAAACAGCAUACGCCUCUGUUCUUGUCAGCUCAGGGAAAACAGAUCUGGGGACCUCUUCAUCUCUGCGUCGGGAAGCAUAGGUGGUAUAAUCCCCUCCUGUUACGUCCAGCGUUGCAUAGUCAGAAGCUUCGCCCUUGUAGUUGGUGCACACAGCACGGUGAUCACAGGAUCUGGUUUGCCACUGAAAGGAAUCUUGAUGCUGACCACUUCACCUCGGAGAGCAUGAACUGCUCCCAUGCCUUCAAGAGUUUUAGAUUUUCACAUUUCACACGGAACUCAUAUUCAAGACCUUCAAUAAGGUUUUUCACUGAAAAGACAGUUUCUCGAAUUUCUUCUGUUGUCACAGAAAUCCAUUUAUUCUGUUUCUUCUCACGCUUCUCAAGUGGGUAACCAGGAUGGAACUGUGGUGUUGCUUGCAGGAGAAGCUUACUACUGGUUUCUACUUCUCCAACCUCAUUGGUGGCUAUGCAGGCACUGUCUCCAGACUGUCUAUAUUCAACCCAGUAUCCAAGAAUUUCUUUGCCACCAUCACAUUCAGGUUUCUCCCACUGUAGAGUGACACUAUCUUUGGAUAUUGAAAGAAUCUCAAGUUCUCCUGGUUGGCUUGGUUUAUCUGAAAUAUUUUAAAA